UUAACAUGGACCCUCAUCAGCCCUGGGUCCGAUUCCAGCCCUUGGUAAUUGCUCCUCAGGGUUCCACCGAAUUCGUUUUGGAGUAACAUUUGGUAAUGGCCUGGUGAGAACUGAUAUGUCUGGAUCACAGUAGCUACACAGUUGAGACCAUGUAUGCUAAAUAGGAUUCUGCAGCAUCUUCUGACAUUCAGAAUCAAGCCGAGAGCUGCUCUGUAAUAGUGUGUGGAUGACGCAUUACACACUGACUCUGUGACAUCAUGUCAUCUUGUUCUCAGUUACAGCAACCCAAUGUGCCUGCCCUGCACACCCCAGCUCUUACAUGGGCAAGGAGAAAGAUGGCCUGCUGGAGGAAGAUUCCAUCCUUCUCUAGGACACAAACAGGGAGA
Long non-coding RNA from Mustela erminea (ermine), 386 nucleotides. RefSeq lists it as uncharacterized. The transcript has 3 exons. Lineage: Eukaryota; Metazoa; Chordata; Mammalia; Carnivora; Mustelidae. The record is from RefSeq and is a predicted model, not a curated record.